RNAcentral lists this ribosomal RNA (279 nucleotides) under uncultured bacterium. RNAcentral's name for it is "partial 16S ribosomal RNA". It matches the Rfam family "Bacterial small subunit ribosomal RNA", at positions 506 to 784 of the family's 1533-position model. The record is from RNAcentral.
UGCCAGCCGCCGCGGUAAUACGGAGGGUGCAAGCGUUGUUCGGAAUUAUUGGGCGUAAAGCGCGUGUAGGCGGUUCGUUAAGUCUGAUGUGAAAGCCCGGGGCUCAACCCCGGAAGAGCAUUUGAAACAGCCACACUUGAGUACUGGAGAGGAAAGGGGAAUUCCUGGUGUAGGGGUGAAAUCCGUAGAUAUUCGGAGGAACACCAGUGGCGAAGGCGGCUUUCUGGACCGAUACUGACGCUGAGACGCGAAAGCGUGGGGAGCAAACAGGAUUAGAUA